RNAcentral lists this long non-coding RNA (572 nucleotides) under Mytilus galloprovincialis (Mediterranean mussel). Lineage: Eukaryota; Metazoa; Mollusca; Bivalvia; Mytilida; Mytilidae. The record is from RNAcentral.
AUCUGGGGCCAAACCGAAUUGAUUGUUUUGAAUGAUUUGGUGUACCAUAUGAUAAAGAUAUAAAUAAAUUGAGUUAUGAAAAAAAAAUAUUAAAACAUUUUUCUGAAAUUGUUAUACCCUAGAGCCUCCUUAAAUGUCAUUUGAUCUCUAUUGGAGAAAUGUCUCAUUGGAAAUCAGACUGCUAAGUGUUUCUUAUUUUUAUAUCAACCCAGCCAUAUUAUACCUGUCUAAUAUCAGGAGCUUGUACAUAGUUCAGUGGUUGAUGUUGGUUCAUACCCGUCAUUUUUAUUUUUCAUAAUUUUUUGUUUUUAUAAAUUAGUCUGGUAUAUUUGACGUUUGAAUUGAUGCUCUGUUUCAAAUUUGGUUAGUGUUGACUUUUAUAGAUUACUAUAACAUGUAUAGGGUAUGGGUUUUCUCAUUACUUACAGGUCAUCAAUGGCCUCUAAUAAGUAAUUACAAUGCUUACAUCCACUAAAUUGAACUCUGAUGGAUAGUUUUCUCUUUCAUCAUACCACAUCUUAUUUUAAUAAAUAUUUAAUUAUUAUUCAAGGACAAAAAAAUUUUUAUAACAG